CGGAGGGUGCGAGCGUUAUCCGGAAUUACUGGGUUUAAAGGGUGCGUAGGCGGCUUUGUAAGUCAGGAGUGGAAGUUUGCGGCUCAACCGUAAAAUUGCUUCUGAUACUGCAUGGCUAGAAUUAGGAUGAGGUCAGCGGAAUGUGGCAUGUAGCGGUGAAAUGCAUAGAUAUGCCAUAGAACACCAAUUGCGAAGGCAGCUGACUAGACCUGGAUUGACGCUGAGGCACGAAAGCGUGGGGAGCGAACAGGAUUAGAUACCCUGGUAGUCCACGCCCUAAACGAUGCUUACUCGACGUAUGAUGCUAGACAUUGUGCGUCCAAGGGAAACCGUUAAGUAAGCCACCUGGGGAGUACGACCGCAAGGUUG
This 369-nucleotide ribosomal RNA is filed under the name uncultured organism. RNAcentral's name for it is "bacterial SSU rRNA". It matches the Rfam family "Bacterial small subunit ribosomal RNA", at positions 526 to 896 of the family's 1533-position model. The record is from RNAcentral.